RNAcentral lists this transfer RNA (72 nucleotides) under Camelus bactrianus (Bactrian camel). It matches the Rfam family "tRNA". Rfam says of the family: Transfer RNA (tRNA) molecules are approximately 80 nucleotides in length. RNAcentral also lists the same sequence under 2 other names. Lineage: Eukaryota; Metazoa; Chordata; Mammalia; Artiodactyla; Camelidae. The record is from Rfam by way of RNAcentral.
AGGGAUAUAGCUCAGUGGUAGAGCACGUGCUUAGCAUGGACAAGGUCCUGGGUUCAAUUUCCUGUACCUCUA